AGGCCCCGCCCAUCGGCGCCCGCCCGCCAGCCCCGAGUGGCGCGCUCUGGUCUAGGGGAGCGCGAUGGGUGGGUGGCUCUGCCCACCUCUGCCCGUGGGCGUGCCCGUCCUUCCGGCCUAGCGAGAGUCGUGAACGCCGCCCCGCAUCCCCCUAGUGUUCCCCAGACGAGCUCGAGCCAUUGUCGGUGCUCGCGUGCACACUAACCAAGAGUCCCCAUCCCGAGGAAAAAUAUGAGACUUGGGCUGUUACAAUUUAGGAAGGGUUUGACCCAGAUUAUGCUGCUGUUCCUGGUGUUCCUGUGCUUGCAUAACAGAUUUGGGACGACCCCAGCGAAUCGCUCCACCCAUCUUACUUAAUCAGGAUUAGUGGACCACGUAAAAGAAUUUAUCCAAGCCUGGAAGAGCUCCUCCUCGUUGCAAAUGUUCGAUCAAUAUUCGUAACAAGAGCAAUAGUCACUUGAGCUCUUUGUGCUCAACAAAUUGAGCUCGCUUCAAAUUCUCCGUGUAUAAAAUGAGCAUCUUUGCGCCAGAUGUUCU
This 537-nucleotide long non-coding RNA is filed under the name Equus caballus (horse). Its description in RNAcentral is "lncRNA (ENSECAG00000053686.1)". Lineage: Eukaryota; Metazoa; Chordata; Mammalia; Perissodactyla; Equidae. The record is from RNAcentral.